This 2092-nucleotide unclassified non-coding RNA is filed under the name Hevea brasiliensis (rubber tree). The record is from RNAcentral. Lineage: Eukaryota; Viridiplantae; Streptophyta; Magnoliopsida; Malpighiales; Euphorbiaceae.
AUCUCCAUCUCCAUCUCCAUCUCCUUCGGUGUUGACAAGUAGGGUAGAAAAUGGAGCCAUGGCUCAGUCUACAUAACCCUUCAUCCAGUUAUUGAGUACAAAAAUAUGCUACAUAUGUAAGUUAUUGUUUGAUUUGUGAAAUUGGUGGGCAAGCUUCUGAGUAAUUGGAUGUGAGGAAAUAGGAAGCAACAACUAGUUCUUAGUGGUAUUGGUAUCCAUAUAUGGAAAUAUUAGAUGAUACUGUAUGCAUGAUGUAUAUUCUGGGAUUACUUGUUGAGAAGAUGCUUUAUAUGCAUAGUUUCUAAUCAUACUUGUACUGUUGUACACUGAAUGUGCAUCUUUCCAAUUAAAGUUUUGAGUAUAUGAAUGCAUAUAUAGAUCCACAUACUUUUUAUAAAGGUCUGUGGCAUAAUUUCAGGCUGGCCAAGAAUCCUUUAGAUCCAUCACUAGAUCAUACUACAGAGGAGCAGCUGGAGCACUUCUGGUUUACGACAUUACGAGGUAAAGUUAUUGUAGGAAGAGGUAAAGUGAUACACUUUGUUGCCUGCCCUUCCUAUUGUGGGGCUUAUUAGGCCAAGAUUAUGACUUUUGUUGUACUAUAUUGGAAACUUCUUUAAGGAAAGCUCCAUAUGUCCAAAAUGUGGGAUACAUGGAUAACUGGACUCGUAAUACUAUCAGUUCUGAAAAUUGAAUGUGCUCAUGUACACAUGGCCCAUGUUACCCCAGAAUCUUACAACUACCGAGUCAGAUGAAGCUAAUAUAUUUGUUUCCCAACUAAAUGUGGGAUGUGAUGCAGGAGAGAAACAUUUAAUCACUUAGCAAGCUGGCUAGAGGAUGCUCGGCAGCAUGCAAAUCCCAACAUGACAAUCAUGCUUAUAGGGAACAAAUGUGAUCUUUCUCACCGGAGGGCUGUCAGCAAAGAGGAAGGAGAACAGUUUGCCAAGGAAAAUGGACUUUUAUUCUUGGAGGCUUCUGCAAGAACAGCUCAAAAUGUUGAGGAGGCGAGUUCAAAUUUGCCAUAGAUUCGUAUUUAUAAAUUCAGUUAAAUAUUCUGAAGUUAAAAUUCCCAUUUUUCAGUAUUAUACCAACUAAUAUACUAAAAUUUUGUUUUGUAGGCCUUUAUAAGGACUGCAGGAAAGAUCCUUCAGAAUAUCCAGGAAGGCGUGUUUGAUGUAUCCAAUGAGGUAAUCUUUGAGUUCACUUUGUUUUCUCCUGCCUGCCUCACAUCACAUGUGCUGGGGGAGUGACGUUUCAUUUUAUUGUAGGACAAAAUAUGUGAUAAUGAGCCUUGAAUUAUUAUUCUUUUUUCUUAAUAAUUUGUUAUAUCUUAUAAGUUCCAAGCCUCCAAAGGCAAAGGUCCUGGAUAGGGUAUCGUGGAUGUGUGUUAGUUGCCAGCUUUUCCUGUGUGAAGUAGAAACUAUGUCCAAGUGUUUGGUAGUCUGAGCAUCUUGUAAGUUACAGAUUGUCUCGCAUGUCUUUGAUGCAAGCCAAAUCAUGCAUUAUUUCUUGUUUUGUGUUGAUUUGAUUAUCUACUGGGUGGAGUUGUGGAAGGUUAGGGUUUUCGGUUGCCAAGCCAUGGCUAUCAUAUAUAAUGCAGCAUCAGGAAUUUGCUGUUUCUACACUUCUAUGACCUUGCAUUUCUUCUUGCAACAAAAAUUGAUUCUUCUUUUAUGACACCAUUGUGGUUAUGAUUGCAGUCUUCGGGUAUCAAGGUUGGAUAUGGACGCCCCCAGGGCUCAUCAGGCGCAAGAGAUGGAACUGUUGCUCAGAGAGGAGGAUGUUGUGGCUAAUUGAAACACAAACAUAACCUGUAUUAUAUUUUUUUCAUUUUCCCCAUACAUGAAUAUAUGCUUAGAACUGUUAAAUGACUUCUGGUUGACAUUUAAUGUAUAGAUCCAACAUCUGUUGUUCUUUGACUAAAUUGAAUUUAAUUGAUAGGAAUUCAAGUCUUUUGAGUGCUUGAAAGUUUCCUGAGUCAGCACUGUUGUGUUUCUUAUGUUCCGAAUCAGUUGUGAUCAUAUAUAUACACUAGAAUAAUGCCUGGCAGGAUAUAAAUAGUAAUGUUUUCAAAAUUUAUUAAUUUAGAAUUUAC